AGUCACCGCCAUACCACCCUGGAUGCACCUGAUCUUCUCUGACCUCAGAAGCUAAGCAGGGUCAGACCUGGUUAGUUCUUGGAUGAGAGAUGGGGGCCACCCAGAUCA
RNAcentral lists this ribosomal RNA (108 nucleotides) under Callithrix jacchus (white-tufted-ear marmoset). The record is from RNAcentral. Lineage: Eukaryota; Metazoa; Chordata; Mammalia; Primates; Cebidae.